AGUUUAACUACUCACAUUAAUUAGAGUUAACAAGCUAGCUUUGCAGCAGCCUCUCGGCAUGUUUCAGUAACCACCAUAUGAGCUGUAAUAUCCAAGAAUGUUCUUCAAUACUCAGCGUAUCUCCAUCAAAUAAUUAACCCUUUUGACGAAACUCUAUGCACUCACGUGAUUCAGAGCAUAUACACUAUGGCUCACAUUUCUUGGUGUGUGUGGGUAAGUCAACACUGACCAUACCAACAACUGGAUGACUCCUCCAAAAUAAGGAUAGAACUUGAGUUUAAAUCUAACAGACUUUAUUAUGUUAAAAACAAACCAUAAAUUUGCAGAAACUGGUCUUACCUAGUGAACCAGGUUUCCUCAGCCUGCUAUAAAAUCCACCCAGGUCUUUUAUAUCCUUGACGUUCAGAUCAGAAGGGCCUAUGUAGGGGGUUAGGUUUUCUCUAAAUGUUCUAAGGGAAUUCUGAUUAGUUUUGGAACCGUGAAACAAAUGCUAAUUUACCCCAAAGCUUUCUCUUUGAAGCCAGGAUACUAAUGCAGAACUUCCCUGAGGUAGUGAUGAUCUGGUAAUUCUUGUAGAAAGCAAUAACGGAAUUUUACUAGGAACAUUAGUACAUUUAGAUAACUUAAAUAGAUAGCAGUAUAAUAUUCAGUAGAUUUAUG
This is a non-coding RNA of Pelobates cultripes (western spadefoot toad), 660 nucleotides long. Lineage: Eukaryota; Metazoa; Chordata; Amphibia; Anura; Pelobatidae. The record is from the annotation of a GenBank genome assembly.